GACGAACGCUGGCGGCGUGCUUAACACAUGCAAGUCGAGCGGUAAGGCCCUUUCGGGGGUACACGAGCGGCGAACGGGUGAGUAACACGUGGGUGACCUGCCCUCAGCUCUGGGAUAAGCCUGGGAAACUGGGUCUAAUACUGGAUAUGACUCCACGGUGCAUGUCGUGGGGUGGAAAGCCUUGUGCGGCUGAGGAUGGGCCCGCGGCCUAUCAGCUUGUUGGUGGGGUGAGGCCUACCAAGGCGACGACGGGUAGCCGGCCUGAGAGGGCGACCGGCCACACUGGGACUGAGACACGGCCCAGACUCCUACGGGAGGCAGCAGUGGGGAAUCUUGCGCAAUGGGCGAAAGCCUGACGCAGCGACGCCGCGUGAGGGAUGACGGCCUGGUUGU
This 393-nucleotide ribosomal RNA is filed under the name uncultured bacterium. Its description in RNAcentral is "bacterial SSU rRNA". It matches the Rfam family "Bacterial small subunit ribosomal RNA", at positions 28 to 426 of the family's 1533-position model. The record is from RNAcentral.